Molecule: ribosomal RNA, 253 nt
Filed under: uncultured bacterium
Lineage: Bacteria
Description: partial 16S ribosomal RNA
Rfam family: Bacterial small subunit ribosomal RNA
Source: RNAcentral
UACGUAGGGCGCAAGCGUUGUCCGGAAUUAUUGGGCGUAAAGAGCUCGUAAGCGGUUUGUCGCGUCUGCUGUGAAAACUCGAGGCUCAACCUCGGGCUUGCAGUGGGUACGGGCAGACUAGAGUGCGGUAGGGGUGACUGGAAUUCCUGGUGUAGCGGUGGAAUGCGCAGAUAUCAGGAGGAACACCGAUGGCGAAGGCAGGUCACUGGGCCGCAACUGACGCUGAGGAGCGAAAGCAUGGGGAGCGAACAGG